Long non-coding RNA from Myotis brandtii (Brandt's bat), 99 nucleotides. RefSeq lists it as uncharacterized. The record is from RefSeq and is a predicted model, not a curated record. The transcript has 4 exons. Lineage: Eukaryota; Metazoa; Chordata; Mammalia; Chiroptera; Vespertilionidae.
UCCGCUAGAGACUGCCCAGGUGAGAAGGCAGAGAUGUUCUCGGCCCGUUUCCUCCCAGGGUCAUUAACAGUACCCCGGUACGCUGCUGACCCUCUCCUC